UACGGAGGGUGCAAGCGUUAAUCGGAUUUAUUGGGCGUAAAGGGGGCGCAGGCGGGAGAGAUAGUCAGACGUGAAAUUCCGGGGCUCAACCUCGGAGCUGCAUUUGAUACUACUCUUCUUGAGGAUAGGCGGAGAAAACGGAAUUCCACAAGUAGCGGUGAAAUGCGUAGAUAUGUGGAAGAACACCGGUGGCGAAGGCGGUUUUCUAGCUUAUUCCUGACGCUGAGGCCCGAAAGCUAGGGGAGCAAACAGG
RNAcentral lists this ribosomal RNA (253 nucleotides) under uncultured bacterium. RNAcentral describes it as "partial 16S ribosomal RNA". It matches the Rfam family "Bacterial small subunit ribosomal RNA", at positions 524 to 776 of the family's 1533-position model. The record is from RNAcentral.